CUCCCAGGCGUCGAGCGGCGGACGGGUGAGUAACGCGUAGGAAUCUACCCAGUAGAGGGGGAUAGCCCGGGGAAACCCGGAUUAAUACCGCAUACGCCCUAAGGGGGAAAGGCCGGGAUCUUCGGACCGGUCACUAUUGGAUGAGCCUGCGUAAGAUUAGCUAGUUGGUAGGGUAAAGGCCUACCAAGGCGACGAUCUUUAGCUGGUCUGAGAGGAUGAUCAGCCACACUGGAACUGAGACACGGUCCAG
Molecule: ribosomal RNA, 250 nt
Filed under: uncultured bacterium
Lineage: Bacteria
Description: partial 16S ribosomal RNA
Rfam family: Bacterial small subunit ribosomal RNA
Source: RNAcentral